GAUGAACGUUGGCGGCGUGCCUAAUACAUGCAAGUCGAACGAAGACUGUAGUAAUACUGUCUUAGUGGCGAACGGGUGAGUAACGCGUGGGUGACCUGCCCCGAAGUGUGGGAUAACAGUCCGAAAGGAUUGCUAAUACUGCAUAAUAUCCAAGAGAUUAGAUGCUUUUGGAUUAAAGGAGUAAUUCGCUUCGGGAGGGGCCCGCGUCCCAUCAGCUAGUUGGUAAGGUAAUGGCUUACCAAGGCGAUGACGGGUAGGGGACCUGAGAGGGUCGGCCCCCCACAAUGGAACUGAAGCACGGUCCAUACACCUACGGGUGGCAGCAGUAGGGAAUAUUAGUAAUGGGCGAAAGCCUGAACUAGCAACGCCGCGUGUGCGAAGAAGGCCUUCGGGUCGUAAAGCUACUUUUUGAGAGGAUGAGGAAGGACGGUACUCUCAGAAUAAGUCUCGGCUAACUACGUG
This 462-nucleotide ribosomal RNA is filed under the name uncultured bacterium. RNAcentral describes it as "bacterial SSU rRNA". It matches the Rfam family "Bacterial small subunit ribosomal RNA", at positions 28 to 507 of the family's 1533-position model. The record is from RNAcentral.